AUCUAGUUGACGAAUCCUAAAUAAGACGAAACGCGUGUCCGGGAU
This 45-nucleotide non-coding RNA is filed under the name Schistosoma margrebowiei. The record is from RNAcentral. Lineage: Eukaryota; Metazoa; Platyhelminthes; Trematoda; Strigeidida; Schistosomatidae.